AGAAUCAACGCUGGCGGCGUGCCUAACACAUGCAAGUCGAACGAGAAAGUGGAGCAAUCCACAAGUAAAGUGGCGCACGGGUGAGUAACACGUGACUAACCUACCCUUGAGUGGGGGAUAACCUAGGGAAAACCUGGGCUAAUACCGCAUAAUACCUACGGGUCAAAGGAGCAAUUCGCCUAAGGAGGGGGUCGCGGCCGAUUAGUUAGUUGGCGGGGUAAUGGCCCACCAAGACGAUGAUCGGUAUCCGGCCUGAGAGGGCGCACGGACACACUGGAACUGAAACACGGUCCAGACUCCUACGGGAGGCAGCAGUGGGGAAUUUUGCGCAAUGGGGAAACCCUGACGCAGCAACGCCGCGUGGAGGAUGAAGUCCCUUGGGACGUAAACUCCUUUCGAUCGGGACGAUAAUGACGGUACCGGAAGAAGAAGCCCGGCUAACUUCGUGCCAGCAGCCGC
Molecule: ribosomal RNA, 459 nt
Filed under: uncultured bacterium
Lineage: Bacteria
Description: SSU rRNA
Rfam family: Bacterial small subunit ribosomal RNA
Source: RNAcentral